RNAcentral lists this long non-coding RNA (949 nucleotides) under Lynx pardinus (Iberian lynx). The record is from RNAcentral. Lineage: Eukaryota; Metazoa; Chordata; Mammalia; Carnivora; Felidae.
GCCGGCGCGUGUCCCUAUCGUUGGAAAUGGGGUCUCUGACCUCUGCGCUGUGCCCCUCCACCUCCCCAAUGCCCAGAGACCCAAAGGGCGAAGGUUGAGGGUGGGGUGGCAGCCCAGCCACUGUCCUGCCUGUAAACCAGUCUCUGCCCCUCAUCUACAGGUAAACGCUUUCAUGUUGGUCAUUGAGCUCCUCCGUCGUUCCUCUCCACUCCCACUUUAAAGUGCUUCUCGCUUUUCAAACUCAUUAGGUUAUUUAUUACACGUUAGACGCUGGAGGGUCCUGGACUCUUAAAAAACUAGCCACCAAAGAAUGAAAAACCACUCCCUAUAUUUGAUGAAUAUCAGAUGAAGAUUAUUUUGCCAAAGAUUAACACAGAUUUUCUUCAGAUAACUGGUUCUUAAUCUUUUUUGGCAGUGGGGAGGACGAUGCAUGGGAUUCCUUUGAGGAUCCGAUGAGAACCAUGACUCCCCAGAAGAACGCACAAUUUCACAAACAAGUGUCAUGAGGUUCACAGACCUGGGACUUUUUUUUUUUUUAAGUAAAUGUUUUGAUGGGUAGGAUGGUAAAAAAGAGGGAGAUGUGAAGAGGAGGAGAGACCAAAGCAAAAGGGAAAUACUGCCAAUAUAAAGUGGCAGAAUUCCUUUCAAAUACGUGAUGUCUGCGUAAGUACAAUGACGAGGGGAUGUUUUAAUUUACAGAAAUUGGCCUGCAAAAAAUUUUGGAGACAUCUUGUAUUUUUUUCUAAUCCUGGUAAAAUGGAAGACAUCAGCAGAAGUUGGAGCAUAUCUAAGUUGUAAAAUGGACAUAAGGACAUCACCAAUAAGCUGGACUCCAGAAAUCUCUGUCUAGGAUUUUAUUAGACUGCUUUUCUCCCCCCAAUAUACCUGUUUCGGAAGAUUGAGACAAAAAGGCACAAACUCACAUUAAAUAAACAAGGUAAUCUAAUCA